This is a long non-coding RNA of Xiphophorus couchianus (Monterrey platyfish), 251 nucleotides long. RefSeq lists it as uncharacterized. The record is from RefSeq and is a predicted model, not a curated record. NCBI's taxonomy places the organism in Eukaryota, Metazoa, Chordata, Actinopteri, Cyprinodontiformes, Poeciliidae. The transcript is spliced from 3 exons.
GUUUAUUUAUUCAGUAUUUAACACAGCUGACACAAAAUAACGUUAAAAUAUAAUGGUGUUUUUUUUUUAUUCAACAUGUUGUGAAAAAUGUAGCCCUUCGUGUUAUGCAAAGACGGUUAGCCUUCUUGCUACAAGAGAAACCUCGGGUUUUCAAGAAAAUGGCCGCAUAUCAAUUAGUCACAAGCCGUUCCGUAAGAUCAAUCAAUUUUAGGUUAACUCAUUACUUUAUAACCUAAAAGUUAAAUGUCCGU